UACUCCAUGUAGUUUUAAUGUGAGCAUAUUUUUAUGUUCAAAAUCACAUUUUAAUAAGUUGAUGAUAGCAAACCUGCAUUGACAUUUAAAGAAGGCAGGCCAAGCAUGGUGGCUCAUGUUUGUAAUCCCAGCACUUUGUAAGGCCAAGGCGGGAGAAUCACUUGGGUGCAGAAGUUUGAGACCAGCCUGGACAACAUAGUGAGACCCCAUCUCUAUAAAAAUUUUUAGCCCUCACUCGCCAGUGACGACCUGUCUCGCUGUGCGCACGCCCUGCCACCGCCCCGCAGAAAUGCUUUGGUUACCUACAGUCUUUCGCCAGAUGAGACCAGUGUCCAGGGUACUGACUCCUCAUCUCACUCGGGCUUAUGCCAAAGAUGUAAAAUUUGGUGCAGAUGCCCGAGCCUUAAUGCUUCAAGGUGCAGACCUUUUAGCCGAUGCUGUAGCCGUUACAAUGGGGCCAAAGGGAAGAACAGUGAUUAUUGAGCAGAGCUGGGUAAGUCCCAGAGUAACAAAAGAUGGUGUGACGGUUGCAAAGUCAAUUGACUUAAAGGAUAAAUAUAAAAACAUUGGAGCUAAACUUGUUCAAGAUGUUGCCAAUAACACAGAUGAAGAGGCUGGGGAUGGCACUACCACUGCUACUGUACUGGCAUGCUCUAUAGCCAAGGAGGGCUUCAAGAAGAUUAGCAAAGGUGCUAAUCUAGUGGAAAUCAGGAGAGGUGUGAUGUUAGCUGUUGAUGCUGUAAUUGUUGAACUUAAAAAGCAGUCUAAACCUGUGACGACCCCUGAAGAAAUUGCACAGAUUGCUACGAUUUCUGCAAACGGAGACAAAUAAAUUGGCAAUAUAAUCUCUGAUGCAAUGAAAAAGGCUGGAAGAAAGGGUGUCAUCACAGUAAAGGAUGGAAAAACAUUGAAUGAUGAAUUAUAGAUUAUUGAAGGUAUGAAGUUUGAUCGAGGCUAUCUUUCUCCAUACUUUAUUAAUACAUCAAAAGGUCAGAAAUGUGAAUUCCAGGAUGCCUAUGUUCUGUUGAGUGAAAAGAAAAUUUCUAGUGUCCAGUCCAUUGUACCUGCUCUUGAAAUUGCCACUUUUCACCGUAAGCCUUUGGUCAUAAUUGCUGAAGACAUUAAUGGAAAAGCUCUAAGUAUACUCGUCUUGAAUAAGCUAAAGGUUGGUCUUCAGGUUGUGGCAAUCAAGACUCCAGGGUUUGGUGACAAUAGAAAGAACCAGCUUAAAGGUAUGGCUAUUGCUACUGGUGGUGCAGUGUUUAGAGAAGAGGAGCUGACCGUAAAUCUUGAAGACAUUCAGCCUCAUGACUUAGGAAACGUUGGAGAGGUCAUUGUGACCAAAGACGAUGCCAUGCUCUUAAAAGGAAAAGGUGACAAAGCUCAAACUGAAAAAAAUGUAUUCAAGAAACCAUUGAGCAGUUAGAUGUCACAACUAGUGAAUAUGAAAAGGAAAAAACUGAAUGAACGGCUGGCAAAACUUUCAGAUGGAGUAACUGUGCUGAAGGUCGGUGGGACAAAUGAUGUUGAAGUGAAUGAAAAGAAAGACAGAGUUCAGAUGCCCUUAAUGCUACAAGAGCUGCUGUUGAAGAAGGCAUUGUAUUGGGAGGAGGUUGUGCCCUGCUUCAAUGCAUUCCAGCCUUGGACUCAUUGACUCCAGCUGAUGAAGAUCAAAAAAUUGGUAUAGAAAUUAUUAAAAGAACACUCAAAAUUCCAGCAAUGACCAUUGCUAAGAAUGCAGGUGUUGAAGGAUCUUUGAUAGUUGAGAAAAUUACGCAAAGUUCCUCAGAAGUUGGUUAUAUGCUAUGGUUGGAGAUUUUGUGAAUAUGGUGGAAAAAGGAAUUAUUGACCCAACAAAGGCUGUGAGAACUGCUUUACUGGAUGCUGCUGGUGUGGCCUCUCUGUUAACUACAGCAGAAGUUGUAGUCACAGAAAUUCCUAAAGAAGAGAAGGACCAUGGAACGGGUGCAAUGGGUGGAAUGGGAGGUGGUAUGGGAGGUGGCAUGUUCUAACUCUUAGACUAGUGCUUUACCUUUAUUAAUGAACUGUGACAGGAAACCCAAGGCAGUAUUCCUCACCAGUAACUUCAGAGAAGUCAGUUGGAGAAAAUGAAGAAAAAGGCUGGCUGAAAAUCACUAUAACCAUCAGUUACUGGUUUCAGUUGACAAAAUAUAUAAUAGUUUACUGCUGUCAUUGUCCAUGCCUCCAGAUUAUUUAUUUUUAUUUUUAUUUUUCACAAUACACAGUCCUUGUAUUUAGGUACAUUAUGAGACACACUUACUUUUUCUCUACAUUUAGCACAUCAGCAUAGAAAUGUGAUGAAUUAAUCUCCUAGUGAUAUAAAGUAAGAAGUAAUGCACUGCAAUAAAAUAUCACAUGUGACAGGACACCAAGUGGGGUUUUGUUAGGAGGUGGGGAGGAGAAUGGUACAAAGCUGAAUCAGGCAAGGUCCCUACCCUUCAUCAGCUUACAAUUUAGUUGGAGAGUUAAGGCAAUUUAAGAGUGAAAUCGAUUCCAUAAUCAUUAGCUGUCACAAGGCUGCCUGUGAUUAACUUCCAAAUGGGUAAUCCAGUCAAUGAAGGCUGAGCUCAAAGGCAAGAGACUUCAUUGUGGACUGGGAAGACUUCAUUUCUUAGUUGACUUCUCAGAAAGUUGCUUCCUUGCCUCCUGGUAUUAGCCUUUUAUUUUGUAUUUUUGAAUAAAAAAACAUUUGUACAUUCCUGAUACUGGGUACAAGAGCCAUGUACCAAUGUGCUGCUUUCAACUUAAAUCACUGAGGCAUUUUUACUACUAUUCUGUUAAAAUCAGGAUUUUAGUGCUUGCCACCACCUGAUGAGAAGUUAAGUAGCCUUUCUGUGGAGAAUGAGAAUAAGUAGAGAAAUAUCCAAUUAUGUGACAACCUUUGUGUAAUAAAAAUUUGUUUAAAGUUAA
Molecule: RNA transcript, 2931 nt
Organism: Cercocebus atys (sooty mangabey)
Lineage: Eukaryota; Metazoa; Chordata; Mammalia; Primates; Cercopithecidae
Gene name: 60 kDa heat shock protein, mitochondrial pseudogene
Exons: 1
Source: RefSeq, a predicted model, not a curated record